CUCUAUGGUCCUCCCUGUGCUUUGUAUAUGGGUUAAGGCCAGGGAGCGCUUCGUGGUAAAAUAGCUAGUUGGUGUCUCACAAACGGGCAUUUUUUGCACUGGUCCGUUAUAAGCUGCCACUAUUAUAGCCAAUUUUUCAGUGCCAGUGUACAUACACAGUUCUACUAUUAAUUAGUUUCCUUAAGCCUUACAAAAUUUAACUGUAGGUAGUCAGUGCUAUGUAAGAACUCACAAAUUAACUAUGUUGUGUCAUACGAGUAUUCCAUGCAUGAGCAAAAUUUGCUACAACAGUAUACAAUACACCUUGCUUCCCUAAUGCACCAAUAUAUUCAAGCCAGUAUGUGAUUAGUUCUGUAUUCUAAAUGUUUUCUGUGUGAUUUAGUUUCUUACAGGAAGUUACUGUACAGCAUCAGCAAGCAGUCUCAUUUAUGUGGGCUGUAAAUGGUAUUCUUUGCCGCUACAAUACGAGGACGAACUUCAAUUUCCCUCUAUCACCGUCAGCACUUGGCUCGCGCUUGCAAAAUGAAUCACAUCAGGUAUUGCUUGCCUAUGUCUGCAAGAACUGUUGUGUCGAGACAAGAACCUUCACGCGUGGCCUGUGACAGCAAGCUUUUGUGGGCAGCCAGUGCUCUCCUACGAAGGCUGGCCUGCUCUGGCCGGCAAUCAUCUUCAAGAUUUGUGCAUGAUCCCCUUUGCUGCUAUUUGUCACUCUUGUUAAUUACGCUUUCUGCAUCUUUUCUAAUUUAUUAGGUAAUAAAGUAUGACUAUGUGACAUGG
This is a long non-coding RNA of Dermacentor andersoni, 777 nucleotides long. RefSeq lists it as uncharacterized. Lineage: Eukaryota; Metazoa; Arthropoda; Arachnida; Ixodida; Ixodidae. The record is from RefSeq and is a predicted model, not a curated record.